Molecule: long non-coding RNA, 1299 nt
Organism: Helianthus annuus (common sunflower)
Lineage: Eukaryota; Viridiplantae; Streptophyta; Magnoliopsida; Asterales; Asteraceae
Exons: 2
Source: RefSeq, a predicted model, not a curated record
AUAGAAGAUUCAGCCAUCAAAAUUUCAUUAAAACUUAUGUUCAAUAUAUAAUAAGUUGCAGUUUUACAUGAUCUUCAAUGUGAGAAUUUGUGAUAAGGUAAAAUAUAUUUCAAAAUGUAAGCUAAGAUUAAUAAGAUAUCAACGCAAAACUCGCAUGCAAAAAACAAAUCUGCAAAGAAAAAAAUGUUAGAAUAUACCAAGUAGGUGGGUGAGCAAACUUGACAAAAUACUUAUACAAGAUAUGAACCAGUGUAUCUCAACCUCCGCACACGCCCAGGUUGUUGGUGGCUUCACUCGGAUGUUGACCGUAAAGAUCACAUCCAUGCACUUGAUAUGUGGAUAUGAACGUCAAAUUUCGCACAUACAUAUAGACAAUUACACACACUAGUAUACAUAUACACUUACACUCCAAUACCAAAAUAUAAUUGCACUGAAAUAGGGUGCUUAACGGGUUGCGUUUGCGGGUUGGCGUGUUCAACCCGACCUGACCCCAAAAAUUUUAGACGAACCCAAACACAAAAUUCUUGUCAUAUAUAUAAACCUGAACACAGCCUGAAUAUUCACAGGCCGGCCCGAACACAACAUGUGACCUGAAUUUUUUUUUUGUCCCGCAAUUAAUAUAUUAAAAUAUAUAUUACUAUAAAAACCAAUUUAAAUUAUAAAAUCUUAGGUCAAUGUCUCUUUUUAAGUUAUAAUUAUGGCAUAAAAUACGUAUCCAAUUUAAUUUAUGACAUAAAACAUAUUGUAAAAAAUAUAAUAUAAAUAGGUUAAACGGGUCAACCCACCAACCGACCGGGAUAACCCGACCCGAUUAGCUAACAGGUUUUAGUCUUCAACCUGAAACCGGCCCGAACCCAUUUAGACUAAACCCAAACCCACGAAUUUCGUGUUAGGUUCAUGUCAGGUUUUCAUGCUGUGUCAGAAAUUCGCCCCUAAAAAUCCUAUCACUAUUUGUAUGUGUAAUAUAUCAUAUUCAUAAAGUAAGCUAAGACAAGAAACUAUGCAACACCAAAGUACUAGUAACUAGGAUGAAGAAUCCUACAUCAGUUACCUGCCUGGAGAUGAUCAUAUAGACUUCAAAAAUCAUAUAAAUCGACGACUAUACGAGGUCGAAUACUAAAAGACGGAACCUAGUACCAACAAUUAUCCUUGAACAUAAAUCCUUAAACAAAAAGUACACAAUAACACAAGGUUCUAGUCUUACUAAAAACAUGCACUAUCUAACUAAAUGCAAAUCAAACUCUGAUCUUCUUUCUAGUGUCUUGUUGUGCUGUAAGGGCUCUUAAUGUCUAUUUGAUU